GAGGGAGACGCGCAGACACACUCACAGGGCGCCAGCGAGUCAAAGGAAGGAAGCGGCUGCAAGGGACCCGCAGCGUGUCCUGUCUCUCUCUCUCUCACCAUUCAUCGUCUGCUCUUCUCUGCCCUCCAUAAACUGAUCCCUCGCACCGGAGACACAACUGCAGCAGGAGAAAAACCAGGCAGAGGAGGUUGCAGCCCAGCAGCUGCCCUCCUUCCUAGGCUUCAGCGUCUCUUCCCAAAGCCUCUCCUCUCCUCCCUCGGGGCCAGGCGCAGGCCCCGAAGUCUAGUGGGCCCAGAGAACAAAGCCGAGAGGAGUGUGUCUAUGUGUCUCCUUCUUCCCCCUGCUGACGUCCGCAGGAUCCUAAUGCCCGCCUCUUCUUCCUCUUCGUUCUCUGGGCCCGCUCGCAGGCCGAGUGGAGCCAAGUGGAGCCCGGGGUCCACUUACAUGCUGCGGAGGGAGGAGACGAGGCUUUGGGAAGAGACGCUGAGGCCUAGGAAGGAGGGCAGCUGCUAGGCUGCAACCUCCUCUGCCUGGUUUCUCUCCUGCUGCAGUUGUGUCUCCGGUGCGAGGGAUCAGUUUAUGGAGGGCAGAGAAGAGCAAGCAAAGAAUGGUGAGAGAGAGAGACAGGACGCGCUGCGGGUCCCUUGCAGCCGCUUCCUUCCUUUGACUCGCUGGCGCCCUAGCAAAUUGUGGAUUUGAAUUUUCUCUGAAGCAUGUCAAAGUAUGCCACAGACCACUCACAGACAACUCUACUAGUGAGAAUUUUAUCCCCAUACUGAGUGCACAAGCCGAGAUGAAUUUGUGUAUCCAGCACAUCUUCUGCCCACAAAAAUCAUGUGACAGAACACUCUUCUUCAUUGGUGGAAUACGUUUCGCAGCCAUUUUCACCACAGCACAAUAUUGGUUGUUUGGACGCCCAAGGAAACCUAAAUAAAUUAGGGGCUUUUGGCCAUUGUUCUUUGCGUGUGGCAAGGUUUUUGUUGGGCGCCAUUGGGUUUCUUGUACAUGACUCUGAAGACUGGCUGGGGACUUUGCAACCGAUGUAAGUUAAUCCGGGUUAUUCUACGACAGAGGGCUGGAACUGUGUGGGUUUUCUCUUGGACUGCAUUGUUAUUACUAUUUUGCAUUAGCUGCUGCUCGUCGUUUUGGCUCUUUGUGUUAUCCUGCGACGUGGACCUUGCUGUGACGACUUCACCCUUUGGACUUUGGACCGGCUUGGCAUCAUUCCCGUGUUCGUGGCUGACUUCCGUUGCUGACCGCUGGCUUCACCUUCGACUCCGACGCUGUUCUCCAAUGCUGACUCCAGACCGGUUUGACUUCACUACGAUGUUUCGUUCCCUUGACAUCUGGCUUGGCUUUCAACUCCGCAGCGGCUUGUCGCUAUUGCCUCUGUUUUCCAGCUUUGUUUGCCUGCACCGCUCUUGGUGAAGAACUUUAGCCCGGUUUGGGCUUUCUCUUUAGUUUUGGGCUUUUUCUGUACUUUUGGGUUUUGGGGAGGUUUUGAGCCUUUGGGAUUUCUUGCCCUUGUUUGUUUUGCCAUUUUGACUCUGCAUUGCAAUUCUGAGCUGUUUUCAAGCACUUUGGUUUUAAUCCGAAUUAUAUCUCCGGAUAAUCCGGAUUAUAUUCCGGUUUGCGUUUUUGAGGUUUCUUUGCUCUGAACUGUUUAAUCACACUGAAGUUAAAGUGUUGUGAGCUCUCUGGACUUUGUGCUGAGCUUUUUUGAGUUAUUUUUGAAUAAACUAUAUUUAUCUAA
Anolis carolinensis (green anole) is the source of this 1753-nucleotide long non-coding RNA. RefSeq lists it as uncharacterized. The transcript is spliced from 2 exons. The record is from RefSeq and is a predicted model, not a curated record. NCBI's taxonomy places the organism in Eukaryota, Metazoa, Chordata, Lepidosauria, Squamata, Anolidae.